GACGAACGCUGGCGGCGUGGAUUAGGCAUGCAAGUCGAACGGUAGGAGUACCUUCGGGUAUCUGAGAGUGGCGAACGGGUGAGUAACACGUAGGUGAUCUACCCUCAAGAUUGGGACAACCCAGGGAAACUUGGGCUAAUACCGGAUGAAAGCAGCAGUGAUGUUGUUUGAAAGGUGGCGUAAGCUGCCGUUUGGGGAUGAGCCUGCGCUCUAUUAGUUAGUUGGCGGGGUAAAGGCCCACCAAGGCGAUGAUAGAUAGGCGGCCUUAACGGGUGGUCGCCCACACUGGGAUUGAGAUACGGCCCAGACUCCUACGGGAGGCAGCAGUCGAGAAUAGUCUACAAUGGCCGAAAGGCUGAUAGUGCGACGCCGCGUGAACGAAGAAGCCCUUCGGGGUGUAAAGUUCUUUUAUAUGUGAGCAGUGCUUUCUAUGUGAACAGCAUGGGGAGAGAGAUAUUAGCAUAUGAAUAAGCAACGGCUAACUCCGUG
This 489-nucleotide ribosomal RNA is filed under the name uncultured bacterium. Its description in RNAcentral is "bacterial SSU rRNA". It matches the Rfam family "Bacterial small subunit ribosomal RNA", at positions 28 to 507 of the family's 1533-position model. The record is from RNAcentral.